This 497-nucleotide ribosomal RNA is filed under the name uncultured bacterium. RNAcentral describes it as "partial 16S ribosomal RNA". It matches the Rfam family "Bacterial small subunit ribosomal RNA", at positions 28 to 507 of the family's 1533-position model. The record is from RNAcentral.
GAUGAACGCUGGCGGCGUGCCUAAUACAUGCAAGUCGAGCGAACGGACGAGAAGCUUGCUUCUCUGAUGUUAGCGGCGGACGGGUGAGUAACACGUGGAUAACCUACCUAUAAGACUGGGAUAACUUCGGGAAACCGUAGCUAAUACCGGAUAAUAUUUUGAACCGCAUGGUUCAAAAGUGAAAGACGGUCUUGCUGUCACUUAUAGAUGGAUCCGCGCUGCAUUAGCUAGUUGGUAAGGUAACGGCUUACCAAGGCAACGAUGCAUAGCCGACCUGAGAGGGUGAUCGGCCACACUGGAACUUAGACACGGUCCAGACUCCUACGGGAGGCAGCAGUAGGGAAUCUUCCGCAAUGGGCGAAAGCCUGACGGAGCAACGCCGCGGGAGUGAUGAAGGUCUUCGGAUCGUAAAACUCUGUUAUUAGGGAAGAACAUAUGUGUAAGUAACUGUGCACAACUUGACGGUACCUAAUCAGAAAGCCACGGCUAACUACGUG